This 495-nucleotide ribosomal RNA is filed under the name Salmonella enterica subsp. enterica serovar Saintpaul. RNAcentral's name for it is "partial 23S ribosomal RNA". It matches the Rfam family "Bacterial large subunit ribosomal RNA", at positions 1293 to 1781 of the family's 2925-position model. Lineage: Bacteria; Pseudomonadati; Pseudomonadota; Gammaproteobacteria; Enterobacterales; Enterobacteriaceae. The record is from RNAcentral.
AAUGCUGACAUAAGUAACGAUAAAGCGGGUGAAAAGCCCGCUCGCCGGAAGACCAAGGGUUCCUGUCCAACGUUAAUCGGGGCAGGGUGAGUCGACCCCUAAGGCGAGGCCGAAAGGCGUAGUCGAUGGGAAACGGGUUAAUAUUCCCGUACUUGGUGUUACUGCGAAGGGGGGACGGAGAAGGCUAUGUUGGCCGGGCGACGGUUGUCCCGGUUUAAGCGUGUAGGUGUGUGUUCCAGGUAAAUCCGGUUCACUUUAACACUGAGGCGUGACGACGAGGCACUACGGUGCUGAAGCAACAAAUGCCCUGCUUCCAGGAAAAGCCUCUAAGCAUCAGGUAACAUCAAAUCGUACCCCAAACCGACACAGGUGGUCAGGUAGAGAAUACCAAGGCGCUUGAGAGAACUCGGGUGAAGGAACUAGGCAAAAUGGUGCCGUAACUUCGGGAGAAGGCACGCUGAUAUGUAGGUGAAGUGAUUUACUCAUGGAGCUGAA